GCGGGAGUCGCCAAGUGGUAAGGCAUCAGCCUUCCAAGCUGAUAUUCGUGGGUUCGAAUCCCAUCUCCCGCUCAA
Molecule: transfer RNA, 75 nt
Filed under: Anaerolineae bacterium
Lineage: Bacteria; Bacillati; Chloroflexota; Anaerolineae
Description: tRNA-Gly
Rfam family: tRNA
About the family: Transfer RNA (tRNA) molecules are approximately 80 nucleotides in length. Their secondary structure includes four short double-helical elements and three loops (D, anti-codon, and T loops). Further hydrogen bonds mediate the characteristic L-shaped molecular structure. tRNAs have two regions of fundamental functional importance: the anti-codon, which is responsible for specific mRNA codon recognition, and the 3' end, to which the tRNAs corresponding amino acid is attached (by aminoacyl-tRNA synthetases). tRNAs cope with the degeneracy of the genetic code in two manners: having more than one tRNA (with a specific anti-codon) for a particular amino acid; and 'wobble' base-pairing, i.e. permitting non-standard base-pairing at the 3rd anti-codon position.
Source: RNAcentral